Molecule: long non-coding RNA, 304 nt
Filed under: Ananas comosus (pineapple)
Lineage: Eukaryota; Viridiplantae; Streptophyta; Magnoliopsida; Poales; Bromeliaceae
Description: long non-coding RNA (ACOM_LNC035756)
Source: RNAcentral
UUAUUCGUGAAUUAUUAAAAUCUGAAUAAACAGUCUGUACGUGAUUUUUUUUUUCCAAAAAAAUCAGAAUAAAAGAAAAAAAUAUUUGGAUUAUUUAUAUUUAUUAUUCGCGAAUAACUCGUAUAUCGAUCUAUUCGGCUAAAAAAAUGCACAGAAUUUUUGGAUAAAAUUCUUUUUUCCAAUAUAGUUAGUUAAUUUGCGAAUUAUUGUUGAAUUAUUCGCGAAUAUUGAAAAUUUUCAUUAACUUCCGGAAUAUGUACCAAUUGUUGGAAAUAUUAGGGCAGCGGAAACUUACAAACCGUAU